RNAcentral lists this ribosomal RNA (583 nucleotides) under uncultured Bacillus sp. Its description in RNAcentral is "bacterial LSU rRNA". It matches the Rfam family "Bacterial large subunit ribosomal RNA", at positions 1639 to 2227 of the family's 2925-position model. The record is from RNAcentral. Lineage: Bacteria; Bacillati; Bacillota; Bacilli; Caryophanales; Bacillaceae.
CGGCCGCGUCGACCAGGUAGGCGAGAAGAGAAUUCUAAGGUGAGCGAGUGAACUCUCGUUAAGGAACUCGGCAAAAUGACCCCGUAACUUCGGGAGAAGGGGUGCUCUGGUAGGGUGUUACAGCCCGAGAGAGCCGCAGUGAAUAGGCCCAGGCGACUGUUUAGCAAAAACACAGGUCUCUGCAAAACCGUAAGGUGAAGUAUAGGGGCUGACGCCUGCCCGGUGCUGGAAGGUUAAGGUAGUGCUUAGCGCAAGCGAAGGUGCGAACCGAAGCCCCAGUAAACGGCGGCCGUAACAAUAACGGUCCUAAGGUAGCGAAAUUCCUUGUCGGGUAAGUUCCGACCCGCACGAAAGGCGUAACGAUCUGGGCACUGUCUCAACGAGAGACUCGGUGAAAUUAUAGUACCUGUGAAGAUGCAGGUUACCCGCGACAGGACGGAAAGACCCCGUGGAGCUUUACUGUAGCCUGAUAUUGAAUUUUGGUGCAACUUGUACAGGAUAGGUAGGAGCCAAUGAAACCGGAGCGCCAGCUUCGGUGGAGGCGUCGGUGGGAUACUACCCUGGUUGUAUUGAACUUUACCCG